AUUGAACGCUGGCGGCAGGCUUAACACAUGCAAGUCGAACGAGUGGCGGACGGGUGAGUAAUGUCUGGGAAACUGCCCGAUGGAGGGGGAUAACUACUGGAAACGGUAGCUAAUACCGCAUACCAUCGGAUGUGCACAGAUGGGAUUAGCUAGUAGGUGGGGUAAUGGCUCACCAAGGCGACGAUCCGUAGCUGGUCUGGGAGGACGACCAGCCAAACUGGCACUGAGACACGGCCCAGAUGCCUACGGGAGGCAUCAGUGUGGAAUAUUGUACAAUGGGCGAAAGCCUGAUCCAGCCAUCCCGCGUGUGGGAAGAAGGCCUUCGGGUUGUAAAGCAUUUUCUGCGAGGACUCGGUACUUGCAGAAGAAGCACCGGCUAACUACGUGCCAGCAGCCGCGGUAAUUC
This 406-nucleotide ribosomal RNA is filed under the name uncultured bacterium. Its description in RNAcentral is "partial 16S ribosomal RNA". It matches the Rfam family "Bacterial small subunit ribosomal RNA", at positions 30 to 526 of the family's 1533-position model. The record is from RNAcentral.